CCUACGGGAGGCAGCAGUGAGGAAUAUUGGUCAAUGGGCGCGAGCCUGAACCAGCCAAGUCGCGUGAGGGAAGACGGCCCUACGGGUUGUAAACCUCUUUUGCCGGGGAGCAACGGGCGCCACGUGUGGCGCCCCUGAGAGUACCCGGAGAAAAAGCAUCGGCUAACUCCGUGCCAGCAGCCGCGGUAAUACGGAGGAUGCGAGGGUUAUCCGGUUUUAUUGGGUUUAAAGGGUGCGUAGGCGGAGCGUUAAGUCAGUGGUCAAAUUGAGGGGCUCAACCCCUUCCCGCCAUUGAAACUGGCUCUCUUGAGUGGAAGAGAAGUAUGCGGAAUGCGUGGUGUAGCGGUGAAAUGCAUAGAUAUCACGCAGAACCCCGAUUGCGAAGGCAGCAUGCCGGCUUCCGACUGACGCUGAAGCACGAAAGCGUGGGGAUCGAACAGGAUUAGAUACCCCAGUAGUC
This 460-nucleotide ribosomal RNA is filed under the name uncultured bacterium. Its description in RNAcentral is "partial 16S ribosomal RNA". It matches the Rfam family "Bacterial small subunit ribosomal RNA", at positions 338 to 795 of the family's 1533-position model. The record is from RNAcentral.